RNAcentral lists this ribosomal RNA (468 nucleotides) under uncultured bacterium. RNAcentral's name for it is "partial 16S ribosomal RNA". It matches the Rfam family "Bacterial small subunit ribosomal RNA", at positions 28 to 507 of the family's 1533-position model. The record is from RNAcentral.
GACGAACGCUGGCGGCGAGCUUAACACAUGCAAGUCGAACGGAAAGGCCCUGCUUUUGUGGGGUGCUCGAGUGGCGAACGGGUGAGUAACAUGUGAGUAACCUGCCCUUGACUUUGGGAUAACUUCAGGAAACUGGGGCUAAUACCGGAUAGGAGCUCCUGCUGCAUGGUGGGAGUUGGAAAGUUUCGGCGGUUGGGGAUGGACUCGCGGCUUAUCAGCUUGUUGGUGGGGUAGUGGCUUACCAAGGCUUUGACGGGUAGCCGGCCUGAGAGGGUGACCGGCCACAUUGGGACUGAGAUACGGCCCAGACUCCUACGGGAGGCAGCAGUGGGGAAUAUUGCACAAUGGGCGGAAGCCUGAUGCAGCAACGCCGCGUGCGGGAUGACGGCCUUCGGGUUGUAAACCGCUUUCGCCUGUGACGAAGCGUGAGUGACGGUAAUGGGUAAAGAAGCACCGGCUAACUACGUG